GAUGAAGAACGUAGCGAAAUGCGAUACUUGGUGUGAACUGCAGAAUCCCGUGAACCAUCGAGUCUUUGAACGCAAGUUGCGCCCGAAGCCAUUAGGCCGAGGGCACGCCUGCCUGGGCGUCACACGUCGUUGCCCCCCCAUCUACUCCUUCGGGAUUGCGGGGGGCGGAUGAUGGCCUCCCGUGCGCCUCGCCGCGCGGUUGGCAUAAAUGCCAAGUCCUCGGCGACGCACGCCACGACAAUCGGUGGUUGCGAAACCUCGGUUGCCCGUCGUGUGCGGUCGUCGCGCAUCGAGGGCUCGAAAAAAUUGCCGGGUUCCGGCUCGGCUUUCAACGCGACCCCAGGUCAGGCGGGGUUACCCGCUGAAUUUAAGCAUAUCAAUAAGCGGAGGA
This 391-nucleotide unclassified non-coding RNA is filed under the name soil metagenome. RNAcentral's name for it is "partial contains 5.8S ribosomal RNA, internal transcribed spacer 2, and large subunit ribosomal RNA". The stretch from base 1 to 122 matches the Rfam family "5.8S ribosomal RNA", at positions 35 to 154 of the family's 154-position model. The record is from RNAcentral.